AACGAACGCUGGCGGCAGGCUUAACACAUGCAAGUCGAACGCCCCGCAAGGGGAGUGGCAGACGGGUGAGUAACGCGUGGGAAUCUACCUAGUUCUACGGAACAACAGAGGGAAACUUCUGCUAAUACCGUAUACGCCCUAUGGGGGAAAGAUUUAUCGGAAUUAGAUGAGCCCGCGUAAGAUUAGCUAGUUGGUGAGGUAAUGGCUCACCAAGGCGACGAUCUUUAGCUGGUCUGAGAGGAUGAUCAGCCACACUGGGACAGAGACACGGCCCAGACUCCUACGGGAGGCAGCAGUGGGGAAUAUUGGACAAUGGGCGCAAGCCUGAUCCAGCCAUGCCGCGUGAGUGAUGAAGGCCUUAGGGUUGUAGAGCUCUUUCAGUGGGGAAGAUAAUGACGGUACCCACAGAAGAAGCCCCGGCUAACUUCGUGCCAGCAGCCGCGGUAA
RNAcentral lists this ribosomal RNA (447 nucleotides) under uncultured bacterium. RNAcentral describes it as "partial 16S ribosomal RNA". It matches the Rfam family "Bacterial small subunit ribosomal RNA", at positions 29 to 523 of the family's 1533-position model. The record is from RNAcentral.